GACGAACGCUGGCGGCGUGCUUAACACAUGCAAGUCGAACGGAAAGGCCCCUUUUGGGGUACUCGAGUGGCGAACGGGUGAGUAACACGUGAGUAACCUGCCCUUGACUUCGGGAUAACUUCAGGAAACUGGGGCUAAUACCGGAUAGGAAUCCUUGCUGCAUGGUGUGGGUUGGAAAGCUUCGGCGGUUUUGGAUGGACUCGCGGCUUAUCAGCUUGUUGGUGGGGUAGUGGCUUACCAAGGCUUUGACGGGUAGCCGGCCUGAGAGGGCGACCGGCCACAUUGGGACUGGGGUACGGCCCAGACUCCUACGGGAGGCAGCAGUGGGGAUUAUUGCACAAUGGGCGGAAGCCUGAUGCAGCAACGCCGCGUGCGGGAUGACGGCCUUCGGGUUGGAAACCGCUUUCAGCAGGGGCGAAGCUUGUGGUGACGGUACCUGCAGAAGAAGCACCGGCUAACUACGUG
This 465-nucleotide ribosomal RNA is filed under the name uncultured bacterium. RNAcentral describes it as "partial 16S ribosomal RNA". It matches the Rfam family "Bacterial small subunit ribosomal RNA", at positions 28 to 507 of the family's 1533-position model. The record is from RNAcentral.